This 67-nucleotide transfer RNA is filed under the name Staphylinoidea sp. 8 KM-2017. RNAcentral's name for it is "tRNA-Asp". The record is from RNAcentral. Lineage: Eukaryota; Metazoa; Arthropoda; Insecta; Coleoptera.
AAAAAUUUAGUUAAGUAUUAACAUUAGUUUGUCAAACUAAAAUCAUUUUUAAUAAAAAUAAUUUUUA